CAUCCCUGACUGCUGCAGGCAUCUGAUGGGAGUUGGAGUCCAACAACUUCCGGAGGACCUGUAUACCUCUGAAUACCUGUGAGGAUGUUGUCUAGUGGAACUUGGGAGGAGUAUUCAUGGAGGAGUAUUCAUGGAGGAGUAUUCAUGGUGACUACUAGCCACGAUGGCUGUGCUCUGUCUUCGCUGUUGGGGGCUUUAAGCCUUGGAGUACCGGAUGCCUGGAAUUGCAAGGAGGCAGAGUACUGUUGCACUCAGACCCAGAUUGCUGGCUUCCCAUCGGCAUUUGGUUGGUCCCUGUGAUUAGAUGGGCCUUUGGUCGAUCCAGCAGGGCUCUCCUUAUGCUCUUAUGACCUGAGGUUCCUUACUUUAUGAUUCAGCUCCCACCUAAAUUAGCAUUGUCACAGAAAGGGCAGGGGGUGUGUCAGGGAUGUACUAUAGCUCUAAGGGCUUUUUUGCACAAUCACAGGAACUUGGGGCCUUACACCAAGCCAGAAUGUUACGUUAAUAAAAUAUAUGCAAAUUUGAAAAGAAUGAUUAUGGCCCCCUCCAGACAUCUUUUCCCCCCAUACAUAUAUUAGGAUCUGUACUCAUGACACUUUUGGGGGACAGUUACAUGCAAUCCAAUUUUCAAUACUGUUUGUGUCUGCAAAUAUUUUGGGGCAGUCACACUGCUUCCUGUCUAAUUGGUGCAUAUCCCAUAACUUCCUGCUGAAACCCCAUUCCUUUUUAUACCGCAGAUGUUCAAGUUUCUUUCGGGCCUGCUUUUGUUGUGCUUUAGCCUCUCCAGACAGCAAUCCUGUGGUAGCACUGGGGACUCAUCAAUGAACUAUUAUACACUAUUAUCGUAUCCAGAAAAUGUUACAGAAUGCACCGUCAAUAAAACUCCACUCUGGAAGGGCCCUGUAAUUGAAACAGAAGUGUACUACACUGUGGCAGAGAAUACUGAAGUAACCUGUGUGCUUUCUCAGUCUGUUGACUGUUGGCGGGCAACUUCAAGAGCCCUCCUGCUCUUCCUCAGUAUGGUUCUUCAUCUCCAAAAUGGACUUUGGCUGGGCAGCCCUUCAAAUAGAGGACUGUCCACUGCAUGGUAGGACACUCUAAUAGGCAAUACAGGACCAGGUGAAUAAAUUAUCUGAUUUGGUGUGCUGAUAGCUUUUCAGUGGCACCCAGCUGAGGUCUCUCCCCCAAGUGUUAAGAGUGAACAGGCCCAAAGUAUGUCUUGUUUAUGCUUUGAACCUCUAUGUCUUUCAAAACCCACCCCAGCCCUAUUCAUUGAUUGGUCUCUUCCACAUUGGUUGCCAUCUGCUUAAUGCAGCUGUCUUUUGAAGUAAAGGAAAAGAGGCUUUUCUGGAAAAGGAGAGCCAAGGCAGGGGAAAUUCACCAAAAGUUUGUAGCUAUUUGUGGGCUUCAGAGAAAACUGUGGAGUCUAAGCCAGGUUUCUGCAACUCGGUGCCCUCCAGAUAUUGUAUGACUACAACUUCCAUCACCCCUGACCAUUCGGACUGGGGCUGGUGGGGGGGUGGAGAUCAAAACAUCUGGAUCACCAGACCGAAGAAAGCUGACAUUUCAUUUCUUCCUUUCCUUGAAUGUACUGCAAUCAACUGAUAAUAACACACCAAUUAAAAUGUGUGUGUACACACUGUCCCUCCUGCAAUUUUUAUUGACGUUGGGCAUUUUAGCUUUCAAAAGUAGACAGCAGCCAAGGAGGAAAGGUAGACAGGUGGGGGGGUUGAGGGAAGGCAAGUGGUCACAUCAAACUGGAGGCGAGGAGAAACAUUUGACACCUCCUCCAGCUCUGUUCUCUGUUUUUCAUUUCCCUAAAUCACUCCCAGCUGGGGAUUGUAUAUUUUCAGUGGCCUCUCCCAGAGAUGAGGAGAUGGCAGGGCUCCUAACACCAGCUAAGCCCAUCUGAGGUGCUGCUACAUAUUUAUAGGACGUCAGUCCAUAUCAAGCUUUGGGGGACUCAGAUCUGGAGACUCAAGGUCAUCCCCCCCCGUCCCCCCGUCCCCGAUAUCCUUUCUGUUUGUAUCCAUGAUGAUUUGUGCUCAAUAUUUUUUUAUUUAUUAUGUUCAUGUCCCACCUUUUUCUCCAAAGAGCUCAAGGUGGCAUACAUUGUUCUCCCCCUCCUCAUUUAACCCCCACAACAACCCUGUGAGGUAGGUUAGGCUGAGAGGCACCCAGUGAGCUUCAUGGCCUUUGGGGGAAUUUGAACCCUGGUCUCCCAGGACAUGGCUCUCCUAUAUGCCUUCAAUUCUCUUUUCACCUUCAAAAGUUUCCGAGUGGACAUGUUGCUUCCUCUUGCUGUGGGUGCAUGCCCCAUAGCUUCCUGCAAAAAUCCUGGGAUAUUUCAUACCACAAAUGCUACUGUUGAAAGUGUGUGUGUGUGUGUGUGUGUGUGUGUGUGUUUCUCCUGCUUUUGUUGUACUACAAUGCAAUAAUAUCCCUCUUUGCUAUCUGUUUAUUUGUUGUGUGUAUGUUGUUUAUUAAUUGAGGUUUCUUUUAUUUUGUUUGGUGGUAAUUGUUUUUCUUGUUUGUUGCAAGCUGCUUUCAGAAGCCCAAACUGUAAAAGUGGGAUGUAAGCAAUUUUAAUAAUAAUAAUAAUAAUAAUAAUAAUAAUAAUAAUAUCCCCCUCCCUUUUCACAUUUAAAGGAUUUUAGUUCAUACUAUGAAUUUAUGAAUACACAUUGUUAAUCUGGUUUUACAGUAGCUAUAAUCCAGCACUAAUUGCAGUAGCUUCAGUCACAGAAUACAACAACUGAGCGCUUGAAUGGUGCAACCAAAUCUGUCCUUCAUUUGCACAAACUGGUGUCUGGAUUCCAUUUCUCUUUGCUCUGUGUGGGCUUCCCUCUUAUUGGAAGAAUUAUGAAUGGG
Molecule: long non-coding RNA, 2871 nt
Filed under: Podarcis lilfordi (Lilford's wall lizard)
Lineage: Eukaryota; Metazoa; Chordata; Lepidosauria; Squamata; Lacertidae
Source: RNAcentral